UUUUUUAUUUUUCCUAGGCUUAGGUUAUCUAAUUGUGCAAAACAGAAAAUGAGAAACAUAUUACCAUAUUUACUGAACUAGGAUUGGCAGUAAGCAGGCUGUUUAAUUCUCCAAAGGCCAAUCACCAACAAAAUCAACAUUCUUUCAAUUUACUUGGGGGAAGUCUAAAAAUAUUAAUGCUGUGUCAUAUCUGGAAGUGAUAUGCUUCAAAUUAAACAAAUGCAAAGCUUCUGGUUAAUAAACUGAUAGUUAUCACACUAAAAUGGCUCAUCCUUGAAGUGUCACAAAACCAGUAAUAAGAAUUUUAUUUAACUGUGAAUAAGAUACAGCACUGUCGACAUGAUAUUUUGUUCCUAUAACUUUGCAUAUGGCCAUUUUGGGAAGAUAAUUUCUACGAGUUUACCACUUGUCUUUUAAAAAUUGACUUGCCAUCUUUACGUCCUCUGCUAGAUGGGUUACUCUUCAUGAUGUCAGGAUGCUAGUUUUUUAGACUGCCUCAGAACAUACUUUAUCCACAUGAAAUUAACCUAAUAUAAACAUUUUUAUUUUUCUUUACUGGCCAAGUAGUAGUAUUGGAGACUCUGAGGUACAUUUUCUUUGUGUGACACUGCCUCCAGGCCUUCCUGAUGCUGCUGCCAUAAAAUCCACUUAUGUGGACCACCUUGCACAGUUCACAUGUGGUAUUUUACAAAUUCUGACUAGUUGAUGGGGUUUUAAAUAGCAGAUUUAUUUAUUUAUUUAGAGUCUCACUUUGCCGCCCAAGCUGGAAUGCAGUGAGUGAGGCUCCAUCUCAAAAAAUAAAUGAAUAAAUAAAUAAAAGAAAAAUAAAAAAAAGGAUAAAUAAGUUCUUUCACACAGGUCGAUAAAAAGGCAUGAUCUGUAUUUUGGAUCUAACAUAUUUAUUACACUGAUAUGUUCCCAACAUAGAAUUAUUUUUCAUAAUGAAAAGUGUAUACCAGAAUAUAUCAAAUAUAUUAUUAGGUAUUAAAAGGUUUCCUGAUUACAAAGGAUGUCAUAAAAAUUUUAAGGAUGGAUGAUAAAUUCUGAGUUUUUCCUUCAGGCAAGCACUCAGUGUUUUUAUUACUGGUUGAGUAACCUUUAUCUGAAAUGCUUGGGACAAAAGUAUUUCAGAUAUUUUUGAUUUGGGAUAUUUGCGUAUACAUAAUAAGAUAUCUUGGGGAUGGGACCCAAGCCUAAAAGGGAAAUUCAUUUGUUUCACAUACACCUUACCCACAUAGCCUGAAGGUAAGGUUAUAUAUUUUAAAUAAUUUUGUGCAUGAAAGCAAAAGUUGUGGUGGCAUUUUUUAAAAAAUGUUUUUGUUUUGUUUUGUUUUGUUUACAGACAGUCUCACUGUAUUGUCCAGGCUGGACUCAAACUCCUGGACUCAAGCAAUCCUCCUGCCUCAACCUCCUGAGUAGCUGGCAUUACAGGUGCCCACCACACCAGGCUUGUGAUUUGACUGUGACCCAGUGUCACAUGAGGGCACUUCUGGAAUUUUCCAUUUGUGUGUGGGGUCACGUCAGCACGCAAAAAAUUUCUAAUUUUAGAGCAUUUUGGAUUUCAGAUUAGGAAUGCUUAACCUAAGUUUGUAGAAGAAAUUUUUUAGCCUUAGAAUAGGGAUGUUUCAGAUUGUUCAACAGACAAAUGAAAAAGACUAAAAAACCCAGAAAACAUUGGAAUGAUAAAUCAUUAAGUAUAUUUAAAUGUGUUGUUUACCUCUUGCCCGUACAAAACCACUCAUGACAUACAUACAAAUGUAAAGACAAAACUGUAUUCACCUGAUUAACAAGAGCCAGCGUUCACUGCAUGCUGAUCAAGGAACCAACACAAAUUUUAUCAUACACUAAAAAAAGGUAGAACAAAGGCCAACUUAAAGCCUGGAAAGUGAUCCAAUCUGUCAUAUUAGUGUACCACAGAGUAAUUUUGAAAGCCUUUUCUUUUUCUUUAUUUUUGAAAAGACGGAGUCUCGCUCUGUCGCCCAGGCUGGAGGGCAGUGGCGCGAUCUCGGCUCACUGCAACCUCACCCUCCCGGCUUCAAGCCAUUCUCCUGCCUCAGCCUCCCGAGCAGCUGGGAUUACAGGCGCGCGCCGCCACGCCCGGCUAAUUUUUUGUAUUUUAGUAGAGACGGGGUUUCACCGUGUCGCCCAGGCUGGCCUCGAACCCCUGAACUCAGGCAAUCCGCCCACCUCGGCCUCCUAAAAUGCUAGGAUUACAGGCGUGAGCCACCGCGCCCGGACUUUUCUCUUUUUUAAAACCAAUUUCACUAACAUUUACUAAAAAAUGGUUUUCUGCUUUGCAGAAGAGACUUAAGGCAUGUGGAGAAGACACUGCGGGCCUGUCUCAGAUUCCUUUAGAAACCAAUGCUCCACAGUUUUAGGACUAAGUAAUAUUCCGAUAAUCACCCAAGAGUUCCUGGUCUCCGGUUUGUUGUGAGAUUGGAAAUGAACGUGAAAGGCUGCGUUCGUCAUCGUGGCCUUAUUUCUUCUCCCAACUUCCGGUCGUGCAGGUGUCUCGGGCAGGUGAUGCCGAGGCCACUCUGCCGUGUUUUGUGAAUCUUGGCAGAAGGGAGGCGAGCUGUAAAUAAAAGCAUGAGCAUUAGAAUCGCCGCUGUGUAGUAUUAACCUGUUGAGCGCGGGGCUUUCCGGGGCUGGAGCUGCACCGCGGGCUCUGCCGUCUGGGACUCUCCUCCAGCGCGGACCGGACACGACCCCAGGCACCAGGCCGGGCCCGGCCGGGACAGCGGGGUCUUGGGCAGCGGCGGGGCCGGGCGCCCCUCCAGCACGUCCCCAGCUCGGGCGUCGAGGCCUGGCGGAGACCCCAGGACUCGCCACGGCGGC
This is a long non-coding RNA of Macaca mulatta (Rhesus monkey), 2838 nucleotides long. NCBI's taxonomy places the organism in Eukaryota, Metazoa, Chordata, Mammalia, Primates, Cercopithecidae. The record is from Ensembl.